GCCUGAACCAAAGUGUUUUAUUGGGUAUUUGUGUUCUGAAUCUCUAUUAAGUUCAUGGGAGAUUUGAAAACAAUGUGUUGUAAGAGUCUACCUAGUUUGAAGGUUUCAAAGAUGAUUAAUAGAUAGUAGUUGCUGCCCUGCAUCUUUCCUUAUUUUCCUAAGUGUUGGAUUUGAAUUUUGUCACAAAUGUAAUGUUCAAUAAGUAACCAGUAGCAGCAUACAAGUUGUUUGCUUUCUUGCAUUACCAGUCUUAGUUUGAUUAUGUUUUCCUUUUUGGAACUUAUGUUUACAUCCAUGUACAAAGACACCAUGCAUAUUUGCAGUUAUUUUAACUCAGUGUUUGUCUUUAUAUUGCAAGUAUAGAAUUGAGUUACAUGAGGGGGUCUUUGUUUGCUUAAAAAAAUGAUUAGCACACUUCUGACUUGUUUAAUAUUAAUAACUGGCAGUUUGUGGGAUUCCUAGAAUUCCUAAUAGGAAACCAUCUCAUUUGGGUAUUAACAAAGUGUUUUCCAGCUCUUCAUUAACUCAUGCAUAGUUUAGUAUAUAGUUUGGGGUUUAAAGGAUUUAACUCUACUGAUGUAUUUGGUUGUAAACUAGUUUAAGUAAAUCUGGAUAAUUGAUAAUAUAUUUGUCAUUAUAUGACUUUGUGUAUAAUGUUGCUGUAAUCAUACUUCCUGUAGAGUUUAGUUUGUUACUUGAAGUUAUAUUUCACGUUUCAGCUUUCUCUUUAUAUCGAAUUUCAAUCACUUUAUAUCUUCAUAUUAAGAUCUACUUCAUUUAUUAACUCUUUUCCUUUGUUGUGUUGCAUGACACCCGUAUGAGAGUCCACUGGACUCAACCCCUUUUUUUGGCACUAUCUCGGUUGGGCCGAAGACCCAACAUAAGAUUAGAUCGAGUCAGCCUCAUCCCAUUUCUAGCAGCAGCCACGGAUAGAAGGCUCAACAAUGGGUUAUCACUAUUUACGUUGAUGGGCUUGUGCACAAUUUGAGCCAGAGACGUCUUCCAGACCUCGCAUCUAGUUAAGGUCAUUCGUUACCAAGAUCAGAAGAUAAUAUCAUUAGAAGAUAUGUAUCCCAGGAAAAGAUGAGCCAAAUAUUGUAUCACUGCCAUGACAGACCAAUCAUAGGACAUUAUGCAGCCAACCAGACUGCUUUUAAAGUUUUGGAAGUGGGGUUUUUCUAGCCAACACUUUUCAAAAAUGCAUGUGUAUAGGACGUACGAUGUGAUAAGUGUCAAAGAAUAGGUAAUAUCACCAAGAAAGAUGAGAUGCCUUUGCAAUCAAUACAAGUAUGUGAAAUAUUUGAUGUGUGGGGAACAUAUUUUAUGGGUCCUUUUUCCACAUCUCAUUCUUUUGAAUAUAUCCUUGUGGUUGUGGAUUAUGUUUCAAGAUGGGUUGAAGAUAUUCCCACAAAGAAAAAUGAUGCUCGAACUGUGUGUAAUUUUCUCAGAAAAAAUGUUGUUACCAGAUUCUGCA
Lycium ferocissimum is the source of this 1474-nucleotide long non-coding RNA. RefSeq lists it as uncharacterized. The transcript is spliced from 3 exons. Lineage: Eukaryota; Viridiplantae; Streptophyta; Magnoliopsida; Solanales; Solanaceae. The record is from RefSeq and is a predicted model, not a curated record.